GCGUCGGUGGUGCAUUGGUAGCACGCCCACUUUCAGUGGGAAAAGUCUGUUCGAUUCAGGCCCGGCGCUCCA
This 72-nucleotide transfer RNA is filed under the name Streptomyces kaniharaensis. RNAcentral's name for it is "tRNA-Glu". It matches the Rfam family "tRNA". From Rfam's summary of the family: Transfer RNA (tRNA) molecules are approximately 80 nucleotides in length. Their secondary structure includes four short double-helical elements and three loops (D, anti-codon, and T loops). The record is from RNAcentral. Lineage: Bacteria; Bacillati; Actinomycetota; Actinomycetes; Kitasatosporales; Streptomycetaceae.